Molecule: long non-coding RNA, 488 nt
Organism: Neopsephotus bourkii (Bourke's parrot)
Lineage: Eukaryota; Metazoa; Chordata; Aves; Psittaciformes; Psittacidae
Exons: 2
Source: RefSeq, a predicted model, not a curated record
AUCCGGCGGGUACCCCCGUUGCUCCGGCCGCACGGAUGGACACCGAUCCGGUGCAGGCCGCACCAACACCAUCCCUCCCUGCCGCCAUCGCUCCCUCACUCACGUGUUCUCAGAGUAGAAGGCCGCACGGCCCCACCGAUGGGUAUUUAUAGUCUGAGAGGUCUCGCGAGAGUACCGCCUGGCAGUGCAGCCCCGCACGCUGAAUGAGGAAUACGCCCGGGGCAGAGCGGUGCGUUGCGCUCACUUAUACAGGGUCCGGGGCUCCGAGACCACGUUGUCACUGCGCGGUGGGCUGCGCUCUUCCUGGAUGGAUGGACAGCGGUACCAUGUGCUCCUUGUGCCUUCACAAGGGCUCUCCUCGCUGCUUAUGACAGCUAUGCAGGGCAAGCGGUGCUGCGGCGGACGAUGAUGGAGUACUCACAGCAGAAGCACUUUGAAGUGGUCUUGUUCUGUAUUUCUAUGUGCAAUAAAGGGUGGAUUACUUGAAA